CCUACGGGAGGCAGCAGUGAGGAAUCUUGGUCAAUGGUCGGGACACUGAACCAGCCAAGCCGCGUGAGGGAUGAAGGUACAGAGUAUCGUAAACCUCUUUUGUCAGGGAACAAAGGCGGGGACGUGUCCCCGGAUGAGUGUACCUGACGAAAAAGCAUCGGCUAACUCCGUGCCAGCAGCCGCGGUAAUACGGGGGAUGCGAGCGUUUUCCGGAUUUAUUGGGUUUAAGGGGUGCGCAGGCGGUGUGUUAAGUCAGGGGGCAACGCCCGGGGUACACCCCCGGCCCGCCGUUGAAACUGGCAGGCUCGAGUUGUAGAGAGGGAUGCGGAAUGCGCGGUGUAGCGGUGAAAUGCGUAGAUAUCGCGAAGAACUCCGAUGGCGAAGGCAGCAUGCCGGCUCCACACUGACGCUGAGGCACGAAAGCGUGGGUAGCGAACAGGAUUAGAUACCCGGGUAGUC
This 459-nucleotide ribosomal RNA is filed under the name uncultured bacterium. Its description in RNAcentral is "partial 16S ribosomal RNA". It matches the Rfam family "Bacterial small subunit ribosomal RNA", at positions 338 to 795 of the family's 1533-position model. The record is from RNAcentral.